This is a non-coding RNA of Vicugna pacos (alpaca), 261 nucleotides long. The record is from RefSeq and is a predicted model, not a curated record. Lineage: Eukaryota; Metazoa; Chordata; Mammalia; Artiodactyla; Camelidae.
GUCUGUCUGUCUGUCUAUCUAUCUAUCUAUUUAAAGAGAUUUAUCUUAAGUAACUGGUUCAGUCCAAACCUGCAGGGCAAGUCAGCAAGCUGGAGGCCCAGGAGAGCCAAUGUUCCAGUUAGAGUCCUAAGGGCAUUUGCUGGAGAAUGCUCUCUUGUUGGAGAAUUCUCUCUUUUGUUCUGUUCAGACCUUCAACUGAUUGGAUGAGGCCCACCCACACUACAGAGGGCAAUCUGCUUUCCUCCAAAUCGGAUGAGCACA